AGAAGAGGAUAGAGCAGGGGAUAGAGAAGAGGAUAGAGCAGGGGGAUAGAGAAGAGGAUAGAGCAGGGGAUAGAGAAGAGGAUAGAGCAGGGGGUAUAGAAGAGGAUAGAGCAGGGGAUAGAGAAGAGGAUAGAGCAGGGGAUAGAGAAGAGGAUACAGUAGGGGAUAGAGAAGAGGAUAGAGCAGGGGAUAGAGAAGAGGAUAGAGCAGGGGAUAGAGAAGAGGAUAGAGAGGGGGAUAGAGAAGAGGAUAGAGCAGGGGAUAGAGAAGAGGAUAUGAGCAGGGGAUAGAGAAGAGGAUAGAGCAGGGGAUAGAGAAGAGGAUAGAGCAGGGGGAUAGAGAAGAGAGAGGAUAGAGCAGGGGAUAGAGAAGAGGAUAGAGCAGGGGGAUAGAGAAGAGGAUAGAGCAGGGGAUAGAGAAGAGGAUAGAGCAGGGGAUAGAGAAGAGGAUAGAGCAGGGGAUAGAGAAGAGGAUAGAGCAGGGGAUAGAGAAGAGGAUAGAGCAGGGGGAUAGAGAAGAGGAUAGAGCAGGGGAUAGAGAAGAGGAUAGAGUAGGGGAUAGAGAAGAGGAUAGAGCAGGG
RNAcentral lists this long non-coding RNA (580 nucleotides) under Salmo salar (Atlantic salmon). RNAcentral's name for it is "lncRNA (ENSSSAG00000088721.1)". Lineage: Eukaryota; Metazoa; Chordata; Actinopteri; Salmoniformes; Salmonidae. The record is from RNAcentral.